AUACGGAGGGUCCGGGCGUUAUCCGGAUUUAUUGGGUUUAAAGGGAGCGCAGGCGGAGAUGCAAGCGUGACGUCAAAUUUCGGGGCUCAACCCCGUCUCGCGUCGCGAACUGCGUCCCUUGGUUGCGGGAAGGGGAGGCGGAACUCGUGGUGUAGCGGUGAAAUGCAUAGAUAUCACGAAGAACUCCGAUCGCGAAGGCAGCCUUCCGGCCCGUCAACGACGCUCAUGCUCGAAGGUGCGGGUAUCAAACAGGAUUAGAUACCCUGGUAGUCCGCACAGUAAACGAUGGACACCCGCGGUUUGGCCUGUAUGGCUGAGCCGCCAAGCGAAAGCGUUAAGUGUCCCACCUGGGGAGUACGCCGGCAACGGUGAAACUCAAAUGAAUUGACGGGG
RNAcentral lists this ribosomal RNA (393 nucleotides) under uncultured bacterium. Its description in RNAcentral is "partial 16S ribosomal RNA". It matches the Rfam family "Bacterial small subunit ribosomal RNA", at positions 523 to 918 of the family's 1533-position model. The record is from RNAcentral.